CCUACGGGGGGCAGCAGUGGGGAAUAUUGGACAAUGGGGGCAACCCUGAUCCAGCCAUGCCGCGUGUGUGAAGAAGGCCUUUUGGUUGUAAAGCACUUUAAGCGAGGAGGAGGGCACUUUGGCUAAUACCCGAAUGUGUCGGACGUUACUCGCAGAAUAAGCACCGGCUAACUCUGUGCCAGCAGCCGCGGUAAUACAGAGGGUGCGAGCGUUAAUCGGAAUUACUGGGCGUAAAGCGCGCGUAGGCGGUUAUGUAAGUUGGAUGUGAAAUCCCCGGGCUUAACCUGGGCACUGCAUUCAAAACUGCAUAGCUAGAGUAUGGGAGAGGAUGGUAGAAUUCCAGGUGUAGCGGUGAAAUGCGUAGAGAUCUGGAGGAAUACCGAUGGCGAAGGCAGCCAUCUGGCCUAAUACUGACGCUGAGGUGCGAAAGCAUGGGGAGCAAACAGGAUUAGAUACCCCAGUAGUC
RNAcentral lists this ribosomal RNA (466 nucleotides) under uncultured bacterium. Its description in RNAcentral is "bacterial SSU rRNA". It matches the Rfam family "Bacterial small subunit ribosomal RNA", at positions 338 to 795 of the family's 1533-position model. The record is from RNAcentral.